This 783-nucleotide ribosomal RNA is filed under the name Gaeumannomyces tritici. Its description in RNAcentral is "eukaryotic LSU rRNA". It matches the Rfam family "Eukaryotic large subunit ribosomal RNA", at positions 40 to 853 of the family's 3401-position model. The record is from RNAcentral. Lineage: Eukaryota; Fungi; Ascomycota; Sordariomycetes; Magnaporthales; Magnaporthaceae.
AUAUCAAUAAGCGGAGGAAAAGAAACCAACAGGGAUUGCCCUAGUAACGGCGAGUGAAGCGGCAACAGCUCAAAUUUGAAAUCUGGCCCUAGGCCCGAGUUGUAAUUUGCAGAGGAUGCUUUUGGCAAAGCGCUUACCGAGUCCCCUGGAACGGGGCGCCACAGAGGGUGAGAGCCCCGUAUGGUAUGACGCCGAGCCUCUGUAAAGCUCCUUCGACGAGUCGAGUAGUUUGGGAAUGCUGCUCUAAAUGGGAGGUAAAUUUCUUCUAAAGCUAAAUACCGGCCAGAGACCGAUAGCGCACAAGUAGAGUGAUCGAAAGAUGAAAAGCACUUUGAAAAGAGGGUUAAAUAGCACGUGAAAUUGUUGAAAGGGAAGCGCUCGUGACCAGACUUGCGCCGGGCGGAUCAUCCAGCGUUCUCGCUGGUGCACUCCGCCCGGCUCAGGCCAGCAUCGGUUUUCGCCGGGGGACAAAAGCUUCGGGAACGUGGCUCCCUUCGGGGAGUGUUAUAGCCCGUUGCUUAAUACCCCGGCGGGGACCGAGGACCGCGCUUCGGCAAGGAUGCUGGCGUAAUGGUCAUCAGCGACCCGUCUUGAAACACGGACCGAGGAGUCAAGCAUUAGUGCGAGUGUUUGGGUGUAAAACCCGCACGCGUAAUGAAAGUGAACGUAGGUGAGAGCUUCGGCGCAUCAUCGACCGAUCCUGAUGUUUUCGGAUGGAUUUGAGUAGGAGCAUUAACGCUUGGACCCGAAAGAUGGUGAACUAUACUUGAAUAGGGUGAAGCC